Unclassified non-coding RNA from Macaca fascicularis (crab-eating macaque), 148 nucleotides. It matches the Rfam family "Metazoan signal recognition particle RNA". Rfam says of the family: The signal recognition particle (SRP) is a universally conserved ribonucleoprotein. It is involved in the co-translational targeting of proteins to membranes. Lineage: Eukaryota; Metazoa; Chordata; Mammalia; Primates; Cercopithecidae. The record is from Ensembl.
GCCGGGCGUGGUGGCGUGCGCCUGUGGUCCCAACUACUUGGGAGGCUGAGGCAGGAGAAUCGCUUGAGUCCAGUAGGCAGAGGUUGCAGUGAGCCAAGCUCAUGCCACUGCACUCCAGCCUGGGCAACAGAGUGAGACUCUGUCUCAA